Molecule: ribosomal RNA, 393 nt
Filed under: uncultured bacterium
Lineage: Bacteria
Description: partial 16S ribosomal RNA
Rfam family: Bacterial small subunit ribosomal RNA
Source: RNAcentral
AUACGGAAGGUCCGGGCGUUAUCCGGAUUUAUUGGGUUUAAAGGGAGCGCAGGCGGAGAUGCAAGCGUGACGUCAAAUUUCGGGGCUCAACCCCGUCUCGCGUCGCGAACUGCGUCCCUUGGUUGCGGGAAGGGGAGGCGGAACUCGUGGUGUAGCGGGGAAAUGCAUAGAUAUCACGAAGAACUACGAUCGCGAAGGCAGCCUUCCGGCCCGUCAACGACGCUCAUGCUCGAAGGUGCGGGUAUCAAACAGGAUUAGAUACCCUGGUAGUCCGCACAGUAAACGAUGGACACCCGCGGUUUGGCCUGUAUGGCUGAGCCGCCAAGCGAAAGCGUUAAGUGUCCCACCUGGGGAGUACGCCGGCAACGGUGAAACUCGAAUGAAUUGGCGGGG